Molecule: ribosomal RNA, 1437 nt
Filed under: Halomonas sp. X23
Lineage: Bacteria; Pseudomonadati; Pseudomonadota; Gammaproteobacteria; Oceanospirillales; Halomonadaceae
Description: bacterial SSU rRNA
Rfam family: Bacterial small subunit ribosomal RNA
Source: RNAcentral
GGUGGGCGGCGGCUACCAUGCAGUCGAGCGGAACGAUGGAAGCUUGCUUCCAGGCGUCGAGCGGCGGACGGGUGAGUAAUGCAUAGGAAUCUGCCCGGUAGUGGGGGAUAACCUGGGGAAACCCAGGCUAAUACCGCAUACGUCCUACGGGAGAAAGCAGGGGAUCUUCGGACCUUGCGCUAUCGGAUGAGCCUAUGUCGGAUUAGCUAGUUGGUGAGGUAAUGGCUCACCAAGGCCGCGAUCCGUAGCUGGUCUGAGAGGAUGAUCAGCCACAUCGGGACUGAGACACGGCCCGAACUCCUACGGGAGGCAGCAGUGGGGAAUAUUGGACAAUGGGCGAAAGCCUGAUCCAGCCAUGCCGCGUGUGUGAAGAAGGCUUUCGGGUUGUAAAGCACUUUCAGUGGGGAAGAAAUCCUCGGGGCCAAUACCCUCGAGGGAGGACAUCACCCACAGAAGAAGCACCGGCUAACUCCGUGCCAGCAGCCGCGGUAAUACGGAGGGUGCGAGCGUUAAUCGGAAUUACUGGGCGUAAAGCGCGCGUAGGCGGCGUGAUAAGCCGGUUGUGAAAGCCCCGGGCUCAACCUGGGAACGGCAUCCGGAACUGUCAGGCUAGAGUGCAGGAGAGGAAGGUAGAAUUCCCGGUGUAGCGGUGAAAUGCGUAGAGAUCGGGAGGAAUACCAGUGGCGAAGGCGGCCUUCUGGACUGACACUGACGCUGAGGUGCGAAAGCGUGGGUAGCAAACAGGAUUAGAUACCCUGGUAGUCCACGCCGUAAACGAUGUCGACUAGCCGUUGGGGUCCUUGUGACCUUUGUGGCGCAGUUAACGCGAUAAGUCGACCGCCUGGGGAGUACGGCCGCAAGGUUAAAACUCAAAUGAAUUGACGGGGGCCCGCACAAGCGGUGGAGCAUGUGGUUUAAUUCGAUGCAACGCGAAGAACCUUACCUACUCUUGACAUCGUGCGAACUUUCCAGAGAUGGAUUGGUGCCUUCGGGAACGCACAGACAGGUGCUGCAUGGCCGUCGUCAGCUCGUGUUGUGAAAUGUUGGGUUAAGUCCCGUAACGAGCGCAACCCUUGUCCCUAUUUGCCAGCACGUAAUGGUGGGAACUCUAGGGAGACUGCCGGUGACAAACCGGAGGAAGGUGGGGACGACGUCAGGUCAUCAUGGCCCUUACGAGUAGGGCUACACACGUGCUACAAUGGCCGGUACAAAGGGUUGCGAAGCCGCGAGGUGGAGCUAAUCCCGAAAAGCCGGUCUCAGUCCGGAUCGGAGUCUGCAACUCGACUCCGUGAAGUCGGAAUCGCUAGUAAUCGUGAAUCAGAAUGUCACGGUGAAUACGUUCCCGGGCCUUGUACACACCGCCCGUCACACCAUGGGAGUGGACUGCACCAGAAGUGGUUAGCCUAACUUCGGAGGGCGAUCACCACGGUGGUACUU